RNAcentral lists this ribosomal RNA (355 nucleotides) under uncultured bacterium. Its description in RNAcentral is "bacterial SSU rRNA". It matches the Rfam family "Bacterial small subunit ribosomal RNA", at positions 8 to 350 of the family's 1533-position model. The record is from RNAcentral.
AGAGUUUGAUCAUGGCUCAGGAUGAACGCUAGCUACAGGCUUAACACAUGCAAGUCGAGGGGAAACGACAUCGAAAGCUUGCUUUUGAUGGGCGUCGACCGGCGCACGGGUGAGUAGCGCGUAUCCAACCUGCCCACCACUUGGGGAUAACCUUGCGAAAGUAAGACUAAUACCCAAUGACGUCUCUAGAAGACAUCUGAAGGAGAUUAAAGAUUUAUCGGUGAUGGAUGGGGAUGCGUCUGAUUAGCUUGGUUGGCGGGGUAACGGCCACCAAGGCGACGAUCGAGUAGGGGUUCUGAGAGGAAGGUCCCCCANAUUGGAACUGAGACACGGUCCAAACUCCGUACGGGAGGCA